GAUCCCCUACGGGGCGCAGCAGUAGGGAAUCUUCCACAAUGGACGAAAGUCUGAUGGAGCAACGCCGCGUGAACGAGGAAGGUCUUCGGAUCGUAAAGUUCUGUUGAAGGGGAAAAAGAGCGGAGAGAGGAAAUGGUCUCCGAUUGAUAUUACCCUUCGAGGAAGUCACGGCUAACUACGUGCCAGCAGCCGCGGUAAUACGUAGGUGGCGAGCGUUAUCCGGAAUGAUUGGGCGUCAAGGGUGCGUAGGCGGCCUGCUAAGUCUGGAGUGAAAGGUACCGGCUCAACCGGUACAG
Molecule: ribosomal RNA, 296 nt
Filed under: uncultured bacterium
Lineage: Bacteria
Description: partial 16S ribosomal RNA
Rfam family: Bacterial small subunit ribosomal RNA
Source: RNAcentral